GAUGAACGCUGGCGGCGUGCUUAACACAUGCAAGUCGAACGAUGAAGCCCAGCUUGCUGGGUGGAUUAGUGGCGAACGGGUGAGUAACACGUGAGUAACCUGCCCUUAACUCUGGGAUAAGCCUGGGAAACUGGGUCUAAUACCGGAUAGGAGCGUCCACCGCAUGGUGGGUGUUGGAAAGAUUUAUCGGUUUUGGAUGGACUCGCGGCCUAUCAGCUUGUUGGUGAGGUAAUGGCUCACCAAGGCGACGACGGGUAGCCGGCCUGAGAGGGUGACCGGCCACACUGGGACUGAGACACGGCCCAGACUCCUACGGGAGGCAGCAGUGGGGAAUAUUGCACAAUGGGCGAAAGCCUGAUGCAGCGACGCCGCGUGAGGGAUGACGGCCUUCGGGUUGUAAACCUCUUUCAGUAGGGAAGAAGCGAAAGUGACGGUACCCGCAGAAGAAGCACCGGCUAACUACGUG
Molecule: ribosomal RNA, 466 nt
Filed under: uncultured bacterium
Lineage: Bacteria
Description: partial 16S ribosomal RNA
Rfam family: Bacterial small subunit ribosomal RNA
Source: RNAcentral